GCAUUUGUUCGGGCAAAUUUUGCCAACGAUGCUCACAUUCUUUGCCCAUGUUGUGAAUGCCUCAACCAUCCAAGAAUGGCUCAAGGAAGAGUGGAAGAUCAUCUGCUUCUUAAUGGGAUGUCCAGCACAUAUGAUAGAUGGAUAUAUCAUGGAGAACCUUUAGACAAACAACCUCAACAUUUUGAAGCUGAUACAGAGGCCCCUCAUAUGAUGGGUGGUGGUGAUGCUGGCAUUGAUUUCAUGGAAAAGGUUUUGCGAGAUAAUGCUGUUUUGGAGGAAGAGGAUGGGCAUGAAGAUGAUAGGAUUCCUGACCUAUUGAAGGAUUUGUACGAUGCUGAAGAUCAUGCUGAUGGACAGAAAUCAUUGUUUGCUGAGGUGUUAGAGGAGGUGAAGCGCGCAGCUCAUGAAGGGGGUAAAUUUUCAAGAUUUACCUUCACCGUGAAGUUACUCCACAUCAAGUCUUUCUACCGGAUUAGCAAUGCCGCAUUCAACGCAAUACUCCGUCUUUUGAGCUUGCAAUUCCCUAAUAGUUGUGUUCCCAGAUCUUAUGAUGAAGCAUUGAGCAUAAUCCGCAGGCUGGGGUUAGGUUAUGUGUCAAUACAUGUGUGCCCAAAUAACUGUGUCUUGUUUUGGAAGGAUUUAGCAAAGCAUGACAACUGUCCAAAAUGCAAUGCAUCUAGGUGGAAAGAUGCUGAUGGGAAGAAGUCAAUACCGGAGAAGGUACUGAGGCACUUUCCCUUGAUACCAAGGCUGCAGCAGAUGUUCAUCUCGAAGAAAUCAUCGCGUGAGGUACAGUGGCACAAGCUGAAGCGGCAACCUAUGGACAAUGAGCUGAGCCAUCCAGCGGAUGGAGAGGCAUGGAAAGAGUUUGACCGUAUACAUUUUGAUUUUGCUGCAGAUCCAAGGAACAUAAAACUUGGCAUUGCCACAGAUGGGUUUAAUCCGUUUGGGAACAUGAGCACAUCUUAUAGCAUGUGGCUAGUUUUUGUGGUGCCGUACAACCUGCCACCAUGGGCAUGCAUGGAUCAGUCCAACUUCAUGAUGUCAUUGCUUAUCCUGGGUCCAGAUUCUCCAGGAAAGGAUUUUGAUGUCUUUAUGGAGCCCCUCGUAGAAGAACUGCUCCAGCUCUGGACUGGUGUACCUACAUACGAUGCCUUGAGUCCGGAAGAAAAGUUCAAUCUACGUGCUGCGAUCAUAUGGUCCAUCCAUGAUUUCCCGGCUCUGCACACUCUGUCUGGGAGGAUCACAGCGGGUUAUCAGGCUUGUGUCCAUUGUGACAAAGACCCUUGCUCAAAGAGAAUAAGGAGCAAGAUAGGCUAUAUUGGGCACCGCCGCUUUCUUCCCCGAAACCAUCGCUGGCAAAGAAGCAAAGAUUUUAAUGGUGAGAAUGAAACCCGUGACAAGCCAGCUGAAUUCACUAAAGAAGAGCUGGAGCAGCAACUUGAAAAGGUGAAAGAUGUGAGACCAGGAAAGCUGGCGAAGAAAAGAAAGCGUGAGGAAGGUCAAUGUUGGGACCGGAGGUCUUGUUUGUGGGACCUGCCAUACUGGGCUGAUCUGAAAUUAAGGCAUAAUCUCGAUGUAAUGCACAUUGAGAAAAACAUAUGCGAGAAUCUG
RNAcentral lists this ribosomal RNA (1614 nucleotides) under Triticum aestivum (bread wheat). RNAcentral describes it as "partial small subunit ribosomal RNA". Lineage: Eukaryota; Viridiplantae; Streptophyta; Magnoliopsida; Poales; Poaceae. The record is from RNAcentral.